UACGGGGGGGGCAAGCGUUGUUCGGAAUUACUGGGCGUAAAGGGCUCGUAGGCGGCCAACUAAGUCAUACGUGAAAUCCCUCGGCUUAACCGGGGAACUGCGUCUGAUACUGGAUGGCUUGAGUUCGGGAGAGGGAUGCGGAAUUCCAGGUGUAGCGGUGAAAUGCGUAGAUAUCAGGAGGAACACCGAUGGCGAAGGCAGGUCUCUGGGCAUUAACUGACGCUGAGGAGCGAAAGCAUGGGGAGCGAACAGG
RNAcentral lists this ribosomal RNA (253 nucleotides) under uncultured bacterium. RNAcentral describes it as "partial 16S ribosomal RNA". It matches the Rfam family "Bacterial small subunit ribosomal RNA", at positions 524 to 776 of the family's 1533-position model. The record is from RNAcentral.